This 424-nucleotide ribosomal RNA is filed under the name Verrucomicrobiota bacterium. Its description in RNAcentral is "Verrucomicrobia bacterium partial 16S ribosomal RNA". It matches the Rfam family "Bacterial small subunit ribosomal RNA", at positions 355 to 776 of the family's 1533-position model. The record is from RNAcentral. Lineage: Bacteria; Pseudomonadati; Verrucomicrobiota.
UGAGGAAUAUUGGUCAAUGGGCGAGAGCCUGAACCAGCCAAGUAGCGUGCAGGAUGACGGCCCUAUGGGUUGUAAACUGCUUUUAUGUGGGGAUAAAGUGCGUGACGUGUCAUGCAUUGCAGGUACCACAUGAAUAAGGACCGGCUAAUUCCGUGCCAGCAGCCGCGGUAAUACGGAAGGUCCGGGCGUUAUCCGGAUUUAUUGGGUUUAAAGGGAGCGUAGGCUGUCUAUUAAGCGUGUUGUGAAAUUUACCGGCUCAACCGGUGGCUUGCAGCGCGAACUGGUCGACUUGAGGAUGCAGGAAGUAGGCGGAAUUCAUGGUGUAGCGGUGAAAUGCUUAGAUAUCAUGACGAACUCCGAUUGCGCAGGCAGCUUACUGUAGCAUAACUGACGCUGAUGCUCGAAAGUGCGGGUAUCAAACAGG